GGGCCCGCACAAGCGGUGGAGCAUGUGGUUUAAUUCGAUGAUACGCGAGGAACCUUACCAGGGCUUAAAUGUAAGUUGCAUUAGUUAGAGAUAGCUAUUUCUUCGGACCACUUACAAGGUGCUGCAUGGUUGUCGUCAGCUCGUGCCGUGAGGUGUCAGGUUAAGUCCUAUAACGAGCGCAACCCCUGUUGUUAGUUGCCAGCGAGUCAUGUCGGGAACUCUAACAAGACUGCCGGUGCAAACCGUGAGGAAGGUGGGGAUGACGUCAAAUCAUCACGGCCCUUACGUCCUGGGCUACACACGUGCUACAAUGGUCGGUACAGAGGGCUGCAAUACCGCAAGGUGGAGCGAAUCCCAAAAAGCCGGUCUCAGUUCGGAUUGAGGUCUGCAACUCGACCUCAUG
This 403-nucleotide ribosomal RNA is filed under the name uncultured bacterium. RNAcentral describes it as "bacterial SSU rRNA". It matches the Rfam family "Bacterial small subunit ribosomal RNA", at positions 917 to 1322 of the family's 1533-position model. The record is from RNAcentral.